AAACCUAUAUACUUUGUAUUAAGCUUACUAGCUUGAACUAAUUCAUAAUACAAAUCAUGCAUUCCAAAUAAGUAAAUAUUAAGCCACAACCAAAAAAUAUAUAUAUGUAUCCAUCAAUCAUGUUUACUUCAUUUGAGCUGAAUCAUAAAAAUAAACAUAUACAAAACAUACCAAUGUGACAAGCUUACCAUAAUGAACAAUCAUAAGCUAUACAUAUCAUUACUUU
RNAcentral lists this long non-coding RNA (226 nucleotides) under Gossypium barbadense (sea-island cotton). Its description in RNAcentral is "long non-coding RNA (GBAR_LNC000259)". Lineage: Eukaryota; Viridiplantae; Streptophyta; Magnoliopsida; Malvales; Malvaceae. The record is from RNAcentral.